Molecule: long non-coding RNA, 165 nt
Organism: Thalassophryne amazonica
Lineage: Eukaryota; Metazoa; Chordata; Actinopteri; Batrachoidiformes; Batrachoididae
Exons: 3
Source: RefSeq, a predicted model, not a curated record
CCUAUUGAUUUUGGGGUCAAAGGUCAAAGUUAGUCAAGCAUAGCAACAAUCAAAACAUUGCAAAUUUGAAGAAAAAUUUCAUGUGUGAUGUGUUACCUGAAAUCAAUCUUUCCUGACUGCAGCUCACCCUCUCUCCAUUGUGCUACUUUAUCAGUUGGGUUGAGG